AAGUCGUAACAAGGUUUCCGUAGGUGAACCUGCGGAAGGAUCAUUAUUGAAUAAACUUAGUGGGUUGUUGCUGGCUCCUUGGAGCAUGUGCACACUUGCUGUUUUUAUGUCUCCACCUGUGCACUUUUUGUAGACCUGGAUAUCUCUCGAGGCAACUCGGUUUGAGGAUUGCAGACUUCGCAAGAGGUUAGCUUUCCUUGCAUUUCUAGGUCUAUGUUUUCAUAUAUACUCUUAUAAUGUUAUAGAAUGUCUUUUUUUAUGGGCUUCAUUGCCUUUAAACUAUAUACAACUUUCAACAACGGAUCUCUUGGCUCUC
Molecule: unclassified non-coding RNA, 316 nt
Filed under: air metagenome
Description: partial contains small subunit ribosomal RNA, internal transcribed spacer 1, and 5.8S ribosomal RNA
Rfam family: Eukaryotic small subunit ribosomal RNA (bases 1-46)
Source: RNAcentral